GAUGAACGCUAGCUACAGGCUUAACACAUGCAAGUCGAGGGGCAGCAUUGGAGUAGCAAUACUUCAGAUGGCGACCGGCGCACGGGUGAGUAACACGUAUCCAACCUGCCGCUUACUCGGGGAUAGCCUUUCGAAAGAAAGAUUAAUACCCGAUGGUAUAAAGAGUUCGCAUGUUCUCUUUAUUAAAGAAUUUCGGUAAGCGAUGGGGAUGCGUUCCAUUAGAUUGUUGGCGGGGUAACGGCCCACCAAGUCUACGAUGGAUAGGGGUUCUGAGAGGAAGGUCCCCCACAUUGGAACUGAGACACGGUCCAAACUCCUACGGGAGGCAGCAGUGAGGAAUAUUGGUCAAUGGGCGAGAGCCUGAACCAGCCAAGUAGCGUGAAGGAUGACUGCCCUAUGGGUUGUAAACUUCUUUUAUAAGGGAAUAAAGUGAGGGACGUGUCCCUUUUUGUAUGUACCUUAUGAAUAAGGAUCGGCUAACUCCGUGCCAGCAGCCGCGGUAAUG
This 505-nucleotide ribosomal RNA is filed under the name uncultured bacterium. RNAcentral's name for it is "bacterial SSU rRNA". It matches the Rfam family "Bacterial small subunit ribosomal RNA", at positions 28 to 525 of the family's 1533-position model. The record is from RNAcentral.